AGUGAACGCUGGCGGUAGGCCUAACACAUGCAAGUCGAACGGCAGCACAGUAAGAGCUUGCUCUUACGGGUGGCGAGUGGCGGACGGGUGAGGAAUACAUCGGAAUCUACUUUUUCGGGUGGGAUAACGUAGGGAAACUUACGCUAAUACCGCAUACGACCUACGGGUGAAAGCAGGGGAUCUUCGGACCUUGCGCGAUUGAAUGAGCCGAUGUCGGAUUAGCUAGUUGGCGGGGUAAAGGCCCACCAAGGCGACGAUCCGUAGCUGGUCUGAGAGGAUGAUCAGCCACACUAGAACUGAGACACGGACCAGACUCCUACGGGAGGCAGCAGUGGGGAAUAUUGGACAAUGGGCGCAAGCCUGAUACAGCCAUACCGAGUGGGUGAAGAAGGCCUUCGGGUUGUAAAGCCCUUUUGUUGGGAAAGAAAAGCAGCAGGUUAAUACCCCGCUGUUCUGACGGUACCCAAAGAAUAAGCACCGGCUAACUUCGUG
Molecule: ribosomal RNA, 492 nt
Filed under: uncultured bacterium
Lineage: Bacteria
Description: partial 16S ribosomal RNA
Rfam family: Bacterial small subunit ribosomal RNA
Source: RNAcentral